RNAcentral lists this ribosomal RNA (253 nucleotides) under uncultured bacterium. RNAcentral's name for it is "partial 16S ribosomal RNA". It matches the Rfam family "Bacterial small subunit ribosomal RNA", at positions 524 to 776 of the family's 1533-position model. The record is from RNAcentral.
UACAGAGGUGGCAAGCGUUGUUCGGAAUUACUGGGCGUAAAGGGCGCGUAGGCGGCCUUCUAAGUCAGACGUGAAAUCCCCCGGCUUAACCUGGGAACUGCGUCUGAUACUGGAGGGCUUGAGUAUGGGAGAGGGAUGUAGAAUUCCAGGUGUAGCGGUGAAAUGCGUAGAUAUCUGGAGGAACACCGGUGGCGAAGGCGGCAUCCUGGACCGACACUGACGCUGAGGAGCGAAAGCCAGGGGAGCAAACGGG